UGGGGAAUAUUGCACAAUGGGCGAAAGCCUGAUGCAGCAACGCCGCGUGAGUGAUGAAGGCCUUCGGGUUGUAAAGCUCUGUCUUCUGGGACGAUAAUGACGGUACCAGAGGAGGAAGCCACGGCUAACUACGUGCCAGCAGCCGCGGUAAUACGUAGGUGGCAAGCGUUGUCCGGAUUUACUGGGCGUAAAGAGUGCGUAGGCGGCGAGCCAAGUUUGGUGUGAAAUCUCCCGGCUUAACCGGGAGGGUGCGCCGAAAACUGGUUGGCUGGAGUAUGGGAGAGGAAAGCGGAAUUCCUGGUGGAGCGGUGAAAUGCGUAGAUAUCAGGAGGAACACCUGCGGUGUAGACAGCUUUCUGGACCAAAACUGACGCUGAGGCACGAAAGCGUGGGUAGCAAACA
Molecule: ribosomal RNA, 402 nt
Filed under: uncultured bacterium
Lineage: Bacteria
Description: bacterial SSU rRNA
Rfam family: Bacterial small subunit ribosomal RNA
Source: RNAcentral